Myodes glareolus (Bank vole) is the source of this 1980-nucleotide non-coding RNA. Lineage: Eukaryota; Metazoa; Chordata; Mammalia; Rodentia; Cricetidae. The record is from RefSeq and is a predicted model, not a curated record.
CUUACAGAGAUCCAUCUGCUCUGCCUCUCAAGUUCUGAGAUUAAAGGUGUGCACCACCACUGCCUGGCUUCAAAAAUGUUUUAAUUGAAAGGAUUCUUUGAAAAGCUUGUUGAAAAUAGGUACUCAAAAUUUAUGCAUUUUUAUAAUUAAAAAGUUUCAUUUAAUCUAUUCUAAUCAUGGUUUCCCCUCUCCAACUCCUCUCAGAUCCUCCCCACCUCCCCAGCCCCCCCUUUUUUUCUUUUUAGAAAAUGAACAAUAGAACUCACCAGAUUCCAUUGCACAGUGAGUUGUCCAUGCCAUGGCCUUUGCAGUGAGUCCCUCUUCCGUUGCCAAUCCACAUCAUGGCCUUUGCAGUGAGUGCCUCCUCCAUCCCUGAUCCACAUCAUGGCCUUUACAGUGAGUCCCUUCUCCAAUUCCCGAUCCCUGGCAAACAGGAAUUUGUUUUCUCACAUCAGUUUUCUUUUUUAGGAAUUCAUAGCCGUGGAAUCAUUGUGGAGUCACUGUUGUGUUUGGAUCACAAACACAUGCCACUCUGCCCAGCAUUUUUAAUGUCAAAAGCUGUGAGGAUGUGAAACUGGAGUUUCUACCACUUAGGAUGCGUGCUGGUAGAGAAAGUGUCAUCAGCAUCAGAAGAAACUGAUUCAAUACACUACCUUCACUUCUUCAUUUCUGUGGUGCUGAGGAUAAAACCCAGAGUAUCUCAAAAGCUAGGUAAGUGCUGUAGCCCUGGGCCACAUAACAGCUUCUCCUGAUUUUUUCUCCCCAGUAAAUUAGAUUGAUUUAGCUCUUUUCACAUUAGGUCUUAACAGUCCAAGAAGAUGCACUAGUUUCAAAAAUCUAGUGUUAUUGACAUGAUGCUUAUGGUUUGGGCUCUGAUGACACAGUAUAAAAUUGACAGAUUGAUUUCAUUGGGACUUUACAGACUUGUGCACUGUAGUUGUUAACAUUUAAGUUUACAUAAAGAAUGGCAUAGUUAUGAGCAGUUCAAAUGUCUUAAUUAGCACUGGAACACACACAGUGAAAUGUAAGCAUGUUCUUUGAAAGCUUAUUUGUAAUUUUAUAACAUUUAGCCAAACGGUUCUUAACUCUGGUGCUGUAGGAGGUUCUUCUGUUCGUGUGUUGCUUUCAUUGGUUAAUGAAUAAAGAAACUGCUUUGGGCCUGAUAGGGCAGAACUUUGGUAGGUGGUGAAGACAGAACUGAAUGCUGGGAAGAAGGGCAGAAUAAGAGAUGCCAUGAAUCUUCUGCCUGAAAUGGAUGCUGGUUAGAAUCUUGCCGGAGUGCUGGGACUACAGAUGGAUACCUCCAUAUCUGACUUUUUAUGUACACUCCAGGGAGCAAACUCAAUUAGUCAGGCUUGCCUGUCAAGUACUCUUACCAAGUGAACCAUCUAAUCAGUUUGGGCAUGUUUUUGAGGGAGAUUCAAGAUUGGGUUAAUAAAGGUAAGAAAACUCACUCUAAUUGUGGGUGGCACUUCCCCUGCUUUCAGACUAUCUAUAGGAGAAAGGACAUUGAGUAUCAAUAUUUAUCUCUCUUGACUUCUUGAUUACAGAUACAAUAUAACUGGCUUCAUCACCCUCCCUGUCAUGAAGGACUGACUGUACCCUGAAACUGUGAGCACAAGCAAACCCUUCUUCAUAAAGGUCUUUUUCGUCAGACAUUCUGUCACAGCAAAAGGAAAAAUAACUAGUAUAGCAAAGACUGAGAAGCACUGGUCCAUCCUAUAUGCACUUUGAGGAAUUCAGGUUACCCACACAUGACAUUUUGCUGACCUCUCCCUGAACCUAAUUCCCUGCAGCUAGCUCAACACUAGCCACCAAGCUGCUGUUUGUUUUCAUGCUAUUUAUUGUCUGGAUUGGCAUUAAUUUUUGUGAAACUGGCCAGAAAUAUGAUCAGAAAUAAGCUCUGUAUUCCUUGAUUAUUAUUAUUAUCAUUAUUGUUGUUAUUAUUAUUUUAGACAGGGUCUCAUUAUGCAACACUGG